Molecule: ribosomal RNA, 301 nt
Filed under: uncultured bacterium
Lineage: Bacteria
Description: partial 16S ribosomal RNA
Rfam family: Bacterial small subunit ribosomal RNA
Source: RNAcentral
CAGCCGCCACGGUAAUACGUAGGGUGCAAGCGUUAAUCGGAAUUACUGGGCGUAAAGCGCACGCAGGCGGUUUGUUAAGUCAGAUGUGAAAUCCCCGAGCUUAACUUGGGAACUGCAUUUGAAACUGGCAAGCUAGAGUCUUGUAGAGGGGGGUAGAAUUCCAGGUGUAGCGGUGAAAUGCGUAGAGAUCUGGAGGAAUACCGGUGGCGAAGGCGGCCCCCUGGACAAAGACUGACGCUCAGGUGCGAAAGCGUGGGGAGCAAACAGGAUUAGAUACCCCUGUAGUCCCUGUCUCUUAUAC